This 253-nucleotide ribosomal RNA is filed under the name uncultured bacterium. Its description in RNAcentral is "partial 16S ribosomal RNA". It matches the Rfam family "Bacterial small subunit ribosomal RNA", at positions 524 to 776 of the family's 1533-position model. The record is from RNAcentral.
UACGUAGGGUGCGAGCGUUGCCCGGAUUUACUGGGCGUAAAGGGCGCGUAGGCGGCGUGGCAAGUCACUUGUGAAAUCUCCGGGCUUAACUCGGAACGGUCAAGUGAUACUGCUGUGCUAGAGUGCGGAAGGGGCAACUGGAAUUCUUGGUGUAGCGGUGAAAUGCGUAGAUAUCAAGAGGAACACCUGCGGCGAAGGCGGGUUGCUGGGCCGACACUGACGCUGAGGCGCGAAAGCUAGGGGAGCGAACGGG